Molecule: ribosomal RNA, 242 nt
Filed under: uncultured bacterium
Lineage: Bacteria
Description: partial 16S ribosomal RNA
Rfam family: Bacterial small subunit ribosomal RNA
Source: RNAcentral
CGACCGGCGCACGGGUGAGUAACGCGUAUCCAACCUGCCACCACUUGGGGAGUAACCUUGCGAAAGUAAGACUAAUACCCAAUGAUAUCUCUAGAAGACAUCUGAAAGAGAUUAAAGAUUUAUCGGUGAUGGAUGGGGAUGCGUCUGAUUAGCUUGUUGGCGGGGUAACGGCCCACCAAGGCAACGAUCAGUAGGGGUUCUGAGAGGAAGGUCCCCCACAUUGGAACUGAGACACGGUCCAA